RNAcentral lists this transfer RNA (61 nucleotides) under Paranurophorus simplex. Its description in RNAcentral is "tRNA-Cys". Lineage: Eukaryota; Metazoa; Arthropoda; Collembola; Entomobryomorpha; Isotomidae. The record is from RNAcentral.
UGUUUUAUAUUCAAUAAUGAUUUUUGAUUGCAAAUCAGAAAGUGAGAUUUCUCUAAAACUU